Astyanax mexicanus (Mexican tetra) is the source of this 1989-nucleotide RNA transcript. It is a transcript of the gene named cyclin N-terminal domain containing 1, with no coding region annotated. Lineage: Eukaryota; Metazoa; Chordata; Actinopteri; Characiformes; Acestrorhamphidae. The record is from RefSeq and is a predicted model, not a curated record. The transcript is spliced from 9 exons.
AUUCUAAAAGCAAUGCCAUGGACGGUACACUUACCGAAUCAGCAGUUAGUGACUUAAACAUUAAAUAACGUGUGAAUUUGGGACACAGCCUGAGGUUGUGAGGUUGUUAGUUCUGGCUGCGCAGGCGCAGUCGGUGGACGGUCAGUAGUAAGGUGCGGAUGUAAACGGCGAUGCCGCCAUCUAGUGUUUAAUUUCGGUAAAACACGUCGCAGAUUUGAGGUAAUUUCUGUUAAUCUGUUUAAACCACUUUUCUGAGCCAAAAACUAUGGCAAAAAGACCCAGAGCGUUUUCAUCCAGCGGUCAGGAGAGCCCGAGGUUCGGCGAGGCCUCGCCGGAGGUUCUGUCAGACUUUCUGUCCGACCUGAACAACUCCAACAAAUCCCGCCUGCAGAACAUCUCCAGCCUCUGCGGGAACUUUAAACAGGGGAAGGUAGUGGAACACGCAUUUCUCAUCUGUGAGGAGCUGGGACUGGACGCUUCUGUUGGUUAUCACGCUGUUGAAAUACUGGACAGGUUUAUGGUGCAGCAUAUUGAGAAUUUUAUUAUUAGCCAGAGAAGUGAAGCUGGUGAAGGCCCCUCCUGCAGAGCCAAAAAACACAAUGAAGAUCUGAUCUAUCAGAGUCUCCGUGGGAAAUUCCAGAUCUUUCUCCUAUCAAGCGUGCAGAUAGCCAGCAAACUGGCCUUACAUUCCAGUGCCGUUCACAACGACUCUGCUUCGAGAUACCUGCAGUCACUGGGCAGCAGCUGUCCCGAAGAAAAGCUUCUGGAGACAGAACUUCUCAUCCUGAAAACUCUGGACUUCCAGCUGAACAUGCCGAACCCUCUGCUGUAUGUAGAGACUCUUCUGGAAGUUCUGGCCCACAAUGUGCCAACUAUGCCUGUUGCACAGCUGCAUCACCUGUGCAGGUAUGUGCUUCAGUUUAUCUACCUGAAGAGAGGACCAGUCUAUCAGUCCCUUCUUGUGGCUGCUACAGGAUGUCUCAACCCUUCUCCAGAACAAAGGGAAAAGUUUGUGUCAGUGACUGAGGACUGCAUGCUGUUGGGGGUUGGAGUGAUCACUGUAUCUGCAUACAUCUACCAGACGUCUGUUUGGGAGAAGGUGGUGGAGGAGCUCACUCUGAUCACUGGCAUCUCAGCAAGGAGCAUCAUAGACUUUGCUCAUGUUACUCUGAUGCACAUCACCAAGAACAGAGCGCCAUAACUGCUGGCUGAAAGAGUUUGCUGUCUGUAAUCAUAUGGAUGCUCUCUUAUUCUGACGUCACAACAAGCAAACCUGCAUUGAACCACCCUGGCACCACCCCUCACCCAUCAACCCUCACCAGAGCCCCACCCACUAGAUCAGUUGAUGAAACACCAAUUUGAUCAUUUUGUUUGAGACCCUCACACAGAGCAUUACACAGCAGGAUUAGCCAGCAGACUUCGUCUGAGUGAGGGAUCUGUAUCUACUAUUCGUGGCAAGUCAGAAGAUAAAGGAGAUGUAAGGACGUAAAUAAAAGUGGAAUCGACGUUCCAGCCUCCCACUGAGAAACAGCGAUGUGCUCAGAUAUUGCAGUUUGUUCCAUGGCAACAAUAGCAGGAGGACAGCUCCGGUGGUUUGCAGCUCUCAGUGAUGUCCUGCUCUGAUAUGGACCGUCUUCAGUUAUCAUAUGGACGCUCUGCGGCCUGGAGGAGGAGGACAAUGUACAGUAAAUGACUUGGGCUGGAGUAAAGGCAUAGUCACAACCUACCCGAGUGGCCAGAUGUUUAGUCUGUGAACGAGGUUUCAUGAGCUACUCACUCUUAAUUGAUCUCUACAUGCUCCGCCCAUAAAUUUGUUCUUAUAUAGGUUUUAGUUUAUAUUGCUGCUGAUUUAUAGAAGGUUUAUAGAAUGGUGGUAAAAAUCCCAUUUAAUCAGGGCGGGCUGUUUUUAAUGUAUAAAUGGGACUAAGCUCAUCCUUUCUCUUUUAUUUGACUUUUUUAAAGUUAAUAAAUGACUGGAUUAUUUUAUUA